CCAGCACCCCGAGUGGUCGGGACGAUUAUUGGGCCUAAAGCAUCCGUAGCCGGUUUUACAAGUCCUCCGUUAAAUCCAACUGCUUAACAGAUGGGCCGCGGAGGAUACGAUAAGACUAGGAGGCAGGAGAGGCAAGCGGUACUCAGUGGGUAGGGGUAAAAUCCGUUGAUCCAUUGAAGACCACCAGUGGCGAAGGCGGCUUGCCAGAAUGCGCUCGACGGUGAGGGAUGAAAGCUGGGGGAGCAAACCGGAUUAGAUACCCGGGUAGUCCCAGCUGUAAACGAUGCAGACUCGGUGAUGGACUAGCUUUAUGCUAGUCCAGUGCCGCAGGGAAGCCGUUGAGUCUGCCGCCUGGGGUAGUACGGUCGCAAGACUG
RNAcentral lists this ribosomal RNA (376 nucleotides) under uncultured organism. Its description in RNAcentral is "bacterial SSU rRNA". It matches the Rfam family "Archaeal small subunit ribosomal RNA", at positions 476 to 851 of the family's 1478-position model. The record is from RNAcentral.